CCUACGGGUGGCAGCAGUGGGGGAUAUUGGACAAUGGGGGGAACCCUGAUCCAGCGACGCCGCGUGAGUGAAGAAGUGUUUCGGUAUGUAAAGCCCUAUCAGCAGGGAAGAAGAUGACGGUACCUGACUAAGAAGCCCCGGCUAACUACGUGCCAGCAGCCGCGGUAAUACGUAGGGGGCAAGCGUUAUCCGGAUUUACUGGGUGUAAAGGGCGUGUAGGCGGGACUGCAAGUCAGGUGUGAAAGCCACGGGCUCAACCUGGGGCCUGCAUUUGGAACUGCAGGUCUGGAGUACUGGAGAGGCAGGCGGAAUUCCUAGUGUAGCGGUGAAAUGCGUAGAUAUUAGGAGGAACACCGGUGGCGAAGGCGGUCUGCUGGACUGCGACUGACGUUGAGGCGCGAAGGCGUGGGGAGCAAACAGGAGUAGAUACCCUUGUAGUC
Molecule: ribosomal RNA, 440 nt
Filed under: uncultured bacterium
Lineage: Bacteria
Description: partial 16S ribosomal RNA
Rfam family: Bacterial small subunit ribosomal RNA
Source: RNAcentral